RNAcentral lists this ribosomal RNA (484 nucleotides) under uncultured bacterium. Its description in RNAcentral is "partial 16S ribosomal RNA". It matches the Rfam family "Bacterial small subunit ribosomal RNA", at positions 30 to 507 of the family's 1533-position model. The record is from RNAcentral.
AUUGAACGCUGGCGGCAGGCCUAACACAUGCAAGUCGAGCGGAUGAAGGGAGCUUGCUCGUGGAUUCAGCGGCGGACGGGUGAGUAAUGCCUAGGAAUCUGCCUGGUAGUUGGUUAUAACGUCCUGAAACGGGCGCUAAUACCGCAUACGUCCUGAGGGAGAAAGUGGGGGAUCUUCGGACCUCACGCUAUCAGAUGAUCCUAGGUCGGAUUAGCUAGUUGGUGGGGUAAAGGCCUACCAAGGCGACGAUCCGUAACUGGUCUGAGAGGAUGAGCAGUCACGCUGGAACUGAGACACGGUCCAGACUCCUACGGGAGGCAGCAGUGGGGAAUAUUGGACAAAGGGCGAAAGCCUGAUCCAGCCAUGCCGCGUGUGUGAAGAAGGUCUUCGGAUUGUAAAGCCCUUUAAGUUGGGAGGAAGGGCAGUAAGUUAAUACCUUGCUGUUUUGACGUUACCAAAAGAAUAAGCACCGGCUAACUUCGUG